Molecule: long non-coding RNA, 1121 nt
Filed under: Manihot esculenta (cassava)
Lineage: Eukaryota; Viridiplantae; Streptophyta; Magnoliopsida; Malpighiales; Euphorbiaceae
Description: long non-coding RNA (MESC_LNC010956)
Source: RNAcentral
UCCUAAUUAGUUAAGAUAUAUAUAUAUAUAUCCCUAAAAUUAUAGGCAACGCCUCGUGCCCCGAGCUAGACAUGGAAAGGCACUAGCCUCUUGCAAGAGGCCACACCUCAUCAAGUCGACGUGAGGCUGCCUUGCCCAGCACCUUUAAUAACACUGAAUACUUCUAUCCUAAACAUGAUGCAUGUGGAACCCAUUUGAUUUCCCUGUAACUUUUUGUUUUCUAGUUAAUUUUGUUUACAAAUGAAACUCGGGUAGAAGAUUAAUUCUCAGGAUAUAGCCUCUCCACAGAGUAGGGAUAAGAUGAAGAUCCCUAUAUUAACCAUUCCCACAUCUCACAAAUAUGGGAUGCUUCAUGUACCUGGUCAACUUAUUUUUUAGAAGGUUAAUUCUACAGGCAGAGCAGUGGAGUGAUUCAGAGAACAAGUGGACUACAAAAGUCAAAGCAUGUAAGUUUCUCAUCGUUGCUUCUAGAUAUCCACCAGACGAAAACUCCCAAUUACUUUUGGAUUUGUUGAAUUUUAACAGAUCUUCCUUGUUUUGAAGAAUGAUCUUCCUUCUUAUUGGUGGUUAACCAAAAUUACAUACAAGAACAAAAUUCCAAGUCGUGUAUAAAAACAUAUCCGUCGUUCUUGGUUCUUAGUUUCAAUAAAUGAAGAACAAAUUAAAACUAAUUUCAAAACUGAUAGGAAAAUAACCUGGUCGACCCCAUGCUUGGCUGUUUCUUUCCACAGUUGAAGAAGCGCGAAAAUGAUGCUGGCCGAUGUAAAGGCGGCACAAACAUCGGACAUGAGGGGGUUAUCCAAGAGCAUAGUGGCCAACGCCGCCGGCGACUUAGGCGUUUAGUAAGUGUUUUAGCUGUGGAUGAUUUAUUGAUAUUGCUACAGCUGUGUGCCUUACAUUAAGAGUUUGUCUGUUUCUACAGCCUACUUACCUAAUUCUCAGCAGACUAAUUUUAUUUAUUGAUUUAGUCAAAAAAGUAAAAAGACUAAGCCAAUUAAUUCUCUCUUCACUUAUGCAACAAAGCAAAGCAGCCAAAGGCGGAGAGGGAAAAGACAUUUACUUGGUCGAAGAUGCGUCGUUUUGCUGUUUCUUGCCAGAUGCGGAGUAGCGAGAGAGCAAUA